This 364-nucleotide long non-coding RNA is filed under the name Theobroma cacao (cacao). RNAcentral's name for it is "long non-coding RNA (TCAC_LNC000142)". The record is from RNAcentral. Lineage: Eukaryota; Viridiplantae; Streptophyta; Magnoliopsida; Malvales; Malvaceae.
UUUGCUAUAAAUUUUAUUCAAAUUUUAUUAAAAAGACCCCCAGAAAAUACAAGUAGAUGAUACAAAAAAAAUGAAUCGUAGUUCAUUUCUUCAUUAGUUCAUCUACUUUGAACUCUAUCUCGGCGAGAAUCUUUUUGUUGCUCAAUAUGGUAGCCUCCAGGUCAAAAGUCCUUUGCAUUAGGUUGUCGAUGAGGACUUGCAUCUCCUGCUGGAAUAUGUGCAACUAGUCCCUCACACUCAAGAAUAUGUGCAACUGGACCCUCACACUCAAAGGCACCUCCUCCUCUUCGGAGGCUGCUUCUUACCCCUUCUCGACUCUUGGAUCUUUAGAGGUCAUUUUUCAAUUAUCUGAGAUUGAUUAAGA